AAUGCUGACAUAAGUAACGAUAAAGCGGGUGAAAAGCCCGCUCGCCGGAAGACCAAGGGUUCCUGUCCAACGUUAAUCGGGGCAGGGUGAGUCGACCCCUAAGGCGAGGCCGAAAGGCGUAGUCGAUGGGAAACAGGUUAAUAUUCCUGUACUUGGUGUUACUGCGAAGGGGGGACGGAGAAGGCUAUGUUGGCCGGGCGACGGUUGUCCCGGUUUAAGCGUGUAGGCUGGUUUUCCAGGCAAAUCCGGAAAAUCAAGGCUGAGGCGUGAUGACGAGGCACUACGGUGCUGAAGCAACAAAUGCCCUGCUUCCAGGAAAAGCCUCUAAGCAUCAGGUAACAUCAAAUCGUACCCCAAACCGACACAGGUGGUCAGGUAGAGAAUACCAAGGCGCUUGAGAGAACUCGGGUGAAGGAACUAGGCAAAAUGGUGCCGUAACUUCGGGAGAAGGCACGCUGAUAUGUAGGUGAAGCGACUUGCUCGUGGAGCUGAAAUCAGUCGAAGAUACCAGCUGGCUGCAACUGUUUAUUAAAAACACAGCACUGUGCAAACACGAAAGUGGACGUAUACGGUGUGACGCCUGCCCGGUGCCGGAAGGUUAAUUGAUGGGGUCAGCGCAAGCGAAGCUCUUGAUCGAAGCCCCGGUAAACGGCGGCCGUAACUAUAACGGUCCUAAGGUAGCGAAAUUCCUUGUCGGGUAAGUUCCGACCUGCACGAAUGGCGUAAUGAUGGCCAGGCUGUCUCCACCCGAGACUCAGUGAAAUUGAACUCGCUGUGAAGAUGCAGUGUACCCGCGGCAAGACGGAAAGACCCCGUGAACCUUUACUAUAGCUUGACACUGAACAUUGAGCCUUGAUGUGUAGGAUAGGUGGGAGGCUUAGAAGUGUGGACGCCAGUCUGCAUGGAGCCGACCUUGAAAUACCACCCUUUAAUGUUUGAUGUUCUAACGUUGACCCGUGAUCCGGGUUGCGGACAGUGUCUGGUGGGUAGUUUGACUGGGGCGGUCUCCUCCUAAAGAGUAACGGAGGAGCACGAAGGUUGGCUAAUCCUGGUCGGACAUCAGGAGGUUAGUGCAAUGGCAUAAGCCAGCUUGACUGCGAGCGUGACGGCGCGAGCAGGUGCGAAAGCAGGUCAUAGUGAUCCGGUGGUUCUGAAUGGAAGGGCCAUCGCUCAACGGAUAAAAGGUACUCCGGGGAUAACAGGCUGAUACCGCCCAAGAGUUCAUAUCGACGGCGGUGUUUGGCACCUCGAUGUCGGCUCAUCACAUCCUGGGGCUGAAGUAGGUCCCAAGGGUAUGGCUGUUCGCCAUUUAAAGUGGUACGCGAGCUGGGUUUAGAACGUCGUGAGACAGUUCGGUCCCUAUCUGCCGUGGGC
Molecule: ribosomal RNA, 1374 nt
Filed under: Escherichia coli
Lineage: Bacteria; Pseudomonadati; Pseudomonadota; Gammaproteobacteria; Enterobacterales; Enterobacteriaceae
Description: bacterial LSU rRNA
Rfam family: Bacterial large subunit ribosomal RNA
Source: RNAcentral